CUAGUUCCAAUUUCGCGUAGGUGAGCAGGUUGUUUUCUGUGCUUCUGUGUGGCUCUGUGGCAUGAAAGUAGCAUCCACGGACCGCAUCCGCCAUCAAUUCUUCCUUAAUCCUGUGUGUAUGAAGCCUGUGCGCGUUUUUAUUAUCCGAGUAUAAAUGUACGGCGUGAUUCCGGGCGGGGCCACGAGAAACUCAACAGGACGGAGAGAGAAAGAGAAAGAGAGGGAGCGUGCGAGACGGGCAGGGAUUGAAAGAAUGUGGAAGCGAUCCCAAGAGUUCUAUCAUACUAAUCCCUUCGGCCAUGAGCUCGCUGACCUUCAAGCCUGAUUAAUACCCUUGGUGACGCUGACUGCAGCCCAACAACCAUACUAGGAAAACAGUGACAGAUGGGUUAAACGAACAAAACGUCCACGUCGAAGAAGACGACAGGAAGUGCUUACCACCAUUGCAGGAAGGUAAUGUCAGCACUUGGGUUUCUCACUGCCAUCAAAACUGAUGCGGCCUUGAAGGGAAAAUUGCUCGGCUUGGAGUCGAAUGUGGCAAGACACAAACAACACAUGAGAGUGGGCGGCCGGAGUUCAGCAGCGUGACACAUGAUGGAAGCCUUCGCUGCUUCUGCCAUUCAGCGUGAGCCUUACCUUGAGCCGGAGUACAGGAAGAGCACGAUGACUGCAGUAUGAACAUGGAGGCGUUUGUUAAAAGUGUGGCACUCUGAAGACCUGAAGAGAGCUGAAUAAAAAAAAAUAUAAUUUUAAAAAGCAAUUGAUUUAUUUUGAGUCUGACUUUCAUUAGUAAGAAUGGACAAAGAGAGAGAAAAGACAGAAAAGAUAUUUACUUUUUUUAAAACGUUUUAUGUCUUUCGACUUACCUUAGGAAAUGUGUUGUUACAGUAGCUUUAUCUCAUGCUGAAAAAUUUAGAAAAGGCAAGUGGGUUCUAGUCCUUUUUUAAAAAAAAUACACACACACACACACACACACACGUGUAUAUAUAUAGUGUAGGUAUUAAUCCAGUGCAGUGCGCCACAGCAAAGGGAAAAAUAAUGCAGACAAAUUGUUGAAUAACUCAGAACCACUCUUAUUCUUUUUUCACCCCCUCCGUAUUGGCUAUACUACACACAGUCUUUGCCAUAGCAACUGACUGACAACUACACGCCACUAAUGUUUCAGGAUUCAACACUAAAAGACACACAAAAGUUACCCACACAAAGAACAGAUUGUUCAGUCCAUUAGAAGAUCAGACUUGAUAUUUAUUUUGCAUUUAUUAAUAAGUGAUCGUCUGAACACAGCAGUGAUUGUUUCAGUAAUUUAAACGCCUGCUCUGCUGAUGAUCUGUCAGAGUUGGUAUGACGGUCACCUUUUUUUUUCUUUUUUUUUUUUUUACUGAACUGAAACACGGCGAAUUCCACAGCCCUUCUACAUGUUA
Molecule: long non-coding RNA, 1421 nt
Organism: Gambusia affinis (western mosquitofish)
Lineage: Eukaryota; Metazoa; Chordata; Actinopteri; Cyprinodontiformes; Poeciliidae
Exons: 5
Source: RefSeq, a predicted model, not a curated record